GCUUACGACCACACCGGCCUGAGUACGCCUGAUCUCGUCUGAUCUCGGAAGCUAAGCAGGUCGGGCCUGGUUAGUACUUGGAUGGGAGACCGCCUGGGAAUACCAGUGCUGUAAGCU
Molecule: ribosomal RNA, 117 nt
Organism: Oncorhynchus kisutch (coho salmon)
Lineage: Eukaryota; Metazoa; Chordata; Actinopteri; Salmoniformes; Salmonidae
Source: Ensembl